AGGCUUCACUCCCCUGCCUUCCUUGAGCCGAGCACGCGGGAGACGCAGAGCAGAGAGAGGUCAAGCAGCCUGCCCGAGGUCACACAGCAGGGAAGAGGGUGCUCUGUGUGGUACAAAGGAAAUCCUGCCAGACCACAGAGCACCCAUGCCCAGCCCGCUGGAGCGGCUCUUGGAAGAGAAGUCGCUUUGGAAUCAAAGACCAACAAAGAAAAGCUCGCUGGGCAGCGCCAGCUGGCUCAUCUGGUAAAGGAGAACCUUGAGGCCGGGAAGCUUCCAGAUAGAGGCCGCGCGCUGGCUCAAGCAGCCCCGGGCACCUGCAGGCCUCUCCAGCCAAGGGCCAGGCCACCGUCACCAAUCGGCAGUUGUCCCAGGGGCAGAGACACAGCCCGGAUGGGUGCAGGGAACGACGGGCCUGCACGGCCCCACCGCCGGCACCGAGCCUCGCUGGCCCUGCUGCAUCUUCGUGGGCACGACGCCGCCUCGUGCACAGCGGUCUGGGGAGGACACCGCCAUGCCUCCCAAGGCCACCGGGCUCCCCGACGCUCUCACGUGCUGACCCUCGCUGGACACGCCCGGCGUUCGCCCCCGCGCUGCCCUUCUUCACUCUCCGAGUCUUGGCUGGAGUGCUUCCUUCCCGGAGAAACUUCCCUUCAGCCACGCGGUCUGCGUCGGCUCCCCUCUUCCCAACCUCACCAUUUCCUGUUCCCUCGUUUUCCCUCACAGUGUGUGUCCUGACCACAUGAGCAUCUGUAUGCGCUCGUUUGUGAGUUCGCCCGUUUAUGGUGUCUUGCCCUCACAGGGCCGUGCGCUCCCCCAGGGCGUGGAUUAUUCUUUCCUAUCCACCUGCUCAGGCGCAGUGUGUAGUUUCCGGCACGUCGAAGAGGCCUGCGUCAGUCAGGAUAUAUUCGGUUAUGCCGCAGCGACACAUAUCCCCAGACUGUACGUAAGGACUUAAAGCAACCCUCAGGGAUUCAGGCCGGUAGGACCGCCGACCUUGACUUUCUGCUUUCCAAAGCAGAAAGAAGGAACUAUGGGGAAUCACACACCGGAGUUUAAAGUUUUUACCCAGAAGUGACCUACUUCCCUCCAUUUCAUUGACCAAAGCAGCUCACACAGCCCUGAAGAGUCAGAAGGAAACGGAGGCAAAACAUUUCGGAAGAGCCCCAAGGUCAACAGCCAAAACGGUCAUAGUUGGCCAGGUCUUCUGCAUUCAUGACCCUGUACACAGAGAUUCUGUAGCUUUACCUUCAAGAAAUGGUGGAAUCCAUUUCUGCCUCCUGGAGUCUUGGUUGGCCAUGACUCGCUAUGACAAACACAAUGUGGAGGAGGUGAUGCCGCGGCAUCUACAACCUAGGCUCAGAGGCCUUGCGCUAUCCCACCCGUUCUCUUAGAACCUGGGUCGGCCUUCUGGAAAACGAGACCUGUGGCCCAGUCACACACCAGCAAGCCAACUGGUGGACUCAGGAGGGGGGUCUCGUGAUAUCAGCCAGCCCCCGGCGAAUCUGCCAGAAAGCCCAGCCAACUUCAGCUGACCCCUGACCAGAUGAUCACUGCUUCCCCCUGCCCCAGUGGCUUGUGAGAAAUAAUGAAUGCUUGCUGUUCCAAGCCAUCAGUUUGGGGGCAGUUUGUUACACAGCAACAGCAGACUGCUAUCAACCCUAAUGACAAUAUGGUGCUUUGUUAAAUACUCAUUGAAUGGAAGACGGAGAGCAGAGCAGACUCUUUCCCUCUCUUGCUUUCUCUACCAAAGCCCAGGCUGGGCUUCCAGGAACUAGGAAUCCUGACUUAAAACGUAAAGCCUCGGGGUGCCUGGGUGGCUCCGUCAGUUAAGCAUCCGACUCCGGCUCAGGUCACGAUCUCACGGUUCGUGAGUUUGAGCCCCGCAUCGGGCUCCAUGCCGACAGCUUGGAGCCCGGAGUUUGCUUCGGAUUCUGUGCCUCCCUCUGUCUCUGCCCCACCCCUGCUUGUGCUCCGUCUCUCAAAAAUGAAUAAACGUUAAAAAUUCUGUGUAAAUGUAAAACCU
This 2023-nucleotide long non-coding RNA is filed under the name Felis catus (domestic cat). RNAcentral describes it as "lncRNA (ENSFCAG00000051797.1)". The record is from RNAcentral. Lineage: Eukaryota; Metazoa; Chordata; Mammalia; Carnivora; Felidae.